This 587-nucleotide ribosomal RNA is filed under the name Salmonella enterica subsp. enterica serovar Mbandaka. RNAcentral describes it as "partial 23S ribosomal RNA". It matches the Rfam family "Bacterial large subunit ribosomal RNA", at positions 61 to 688 of the family's 2925-position model. The record is from RNAcentral. Lineage: Bacteria; Pseudomonadati; Pseudomonadota; Gammaproteobacteria; Enterobacterales; Enterobacteriaceae.
CUAAUCUGCGAUAAGCGCCGGUAAGGUGAUAUGAACCGUUAUAACCGGCGAUACCCGAAUGGGGAAACCCAGUGUGACUCGUCACACUAUCAUUAACUGAAUCCAUAGGUUAAUGAGGCGAACCGGGGGAACUGAAACAUCUAAGUACCCCGAGGAAAAGAAAUCAACCGAGAUUCCCCCAGUAGCGGCGAGCGAACGGGGAGGAGCCCAGAGCCUGAAUCAGCAUGUGUGUUAGUGGAAGCGUCUGGAAAGGCGCGCGAUACAGGGUGACAGCCCCGUACACAAAAGCGCAUGUGCUGUGAGCUCGAUGAGUAGGGCGGGACACGUGGUAUCCUGUCUGAAUAUGGGGGGACCAUCCUCCAAGGCUAAAUACUCCUGACUGACCGAUAGUGAACCAGUACCGUGAGGGAAAGGCGAAAAGAACCCCGGCGAGGGGAGUGAAAAAGAACCUGAAACCGUGUACGUACAAGCAGUGGGAGCACAGGUUUACCUGUGUGACUGCGUACCUUUUGUAUAAUGGGUCAGCGACUUAUAUUCUGUAGCAAGGUUAACCGAAUAGGGGAGCCGGAGGGAAACCGAGUCUUAAC